CACUACUGUAACUAGAUUGACAACUUGAAUCUUCUUUUAAAACCCACUCUCAAAAUUCACAAUUUUGACUGCAGUAAAGGAAUAAUUACCCUUUAUUGUCAUUCUCCUUCUCCACUACUAAACAUUUCUCAAAUCCAUGCUUAAAUCGUGUGUAAGGGUGAUUUCUUUGCAUUCGGCAAACAAAUUGUCUUUAGCCUAUAACUAUAGUAGAUUCCCAAGUUUUUUGGGAAUUCUACGAUGGGAAUAAAAGAUAGACAAUGUAUGUGAAUUGAGUCAUUUUACCAAUUCAAAUGUGCAAAAAAUAAUAGAUGAGCAGAGUAAAUAAAUGGGAAUCAAUUUACUUAAAUGUGUUCGUAUUGAUUUCGCUGGAAGCAAGGUGAGGAGAUGUCGACGAAGUAGCUGGGUCCAAUUGUCUAACAAUGAUGGGAGAUUGUGGGUUGUGCGAGGGUGAAACCUUUGGUGAUAGUGGGCAUGACGAGCCGAGAUGGAAGGAAUAGGGAUUUUGGUUCUUCGAUUUUUAGGGUUUCAAAUGUAGGAGAUACACACUCUCUUUUUUUACCCAAUAUUAAUAGAAUACCAUUAUUCAAAUUACUGCCCUUAAAAAUCCUUCACUAUCUUCUUUUCUUCUUCCUCUAACCAGUCACUUAUUAACACAUGUACAUACUUUUCUAAUAAGACAACAAUGCAAUCGAAAAUUUUUCUCUAUAAAGCCCAUGUUUGGGCUCCAUUAAAAGUUUGAUGCAAUUUAUUCUUUUUCUUUUCAAUCACACAUUCUUCAAUAAAAUGAUAUUAUAUGUAAAUUCAAAAAUUUUCGUUCUUUUUUUUUCACACAUUUUCUUAAAG
Molecule: long non-coding RNA, 843 nt
Filed under: Olea europaea subsp. europaea
Lineage: Eukaryota; Viridiplantae; Streptophyta; Magnoliopsida; Lamiales; Oleaceae
Source: RNAcentral